This 465-nucleotide ribosomal RNA is filed under the name Vreelandella stevensii. RNAcentral's name for it is "partial 16S ribosomal RNA". It matches the Rfam family "Bacterial small subunit ribosomal RNA", at positions 338 to 795 of the family's 1533-position model. Lineage: Bacteria; Pseudomonadati; Pseudomonadota; Gammaproteobacteria; Oceanospirillales; Halomonadaceae. The record is from RNAcentral.
CCUACGGGGGGCUGCAGUGGGGAAUAUUGGACAAUGGGGGGAACCCUGAUCCAGCCAUGCCGCGUGUGUGAAGAAGGCCCUCGGGUUGUAAAGCACUUUCAGUGAGGAAGAACGCCUGGUGGUUAAUACCCAUCAGGAAAGACAUCACUCACAGAAGAAGCACCGGCUAACUCCGUGCCAGCAGCCGCGGUAAUACGGAGGGUGCGAGCGUUAAUCGGAAUUACUGGGCGUAAAGCGCGCGUAGGUGGCUUGAUAAGCCGGUUGUGAAAGCCCCGGGCUCAACCUGGGAACGGCAUCCGGAACUGUCAGGCUAGAGUGCAGGAGAGGAAGGUAGAAUUCCCGGUGUAGCGGUGAAAUGCGUAGAGAUCGGGAGGAAUACCAGUGGCGAAGGCGGCCUUCUGGACUGACACUGACACUGAGGUGCGGAAGCGUGGGUAGCAAACAGGAUUAGAUACCCUAGUAGUC